This 215-nucleotide ribosomal RNA is filed under the name Candidatus Liberibacter asiaticus. RNAcentral describes it as "partial 23S ribosomal RNA". It matches the Rfam family "Bacterial large subunit ribosomal RNA", at positions 14 to 186 of the family's 2925-position model. Lineage: Bacteria; Pseudomonadati; Pseudomonadota; Alphaproteobacteria; Hyphomicrobiales; Rhizobiaceae. The record is from RNAcentral.
AGGGCAUUUGGUGGAUGCCUUGGCAUGCACAGGCGAUGAAGGACGUGAUAUGCUGCGAUAAGCUAUGGGGAGCUGCAAAUAAGCAUUGAUCCGUAGAUUUCCGAAUGGGGUAACCCGCCUUAUGUGCCUAGGAAACUGAACUAAGUUGGUUUAAUUUUCUAGGUAUUUUGAAAGGUAUCUUUAUCUGAAUGAAAUAGGGUAAAAGAAGCGAACGC